Molecule: ribosomal RNA, 251 nt
Filed under: uncultured prokaryote
Description: partial 16S ribosomal RNA
Rfam family: Bacterial small subunit ribosomal RNA
Source: RNAcentral
ACGAAGGGGGCUAGCGUUGUUCGGAAUCACUGGGCGUAAAGCGCACGUAGGCGGAUUAUUAAGUCAGGGGUGAAAGCCUGGAGCUCAACUCCAGAACUGCCUUUGAUACUGAUAGUCUCGAGUUCGGAAGAGGUUGGUGGAACUGCGAGUGUAGAGGUGAAAUUCGUAGAUAUUCGCAAGAACACCAGUGGCGAAGGCGGCCAACUGGUCCGAUACUGACGCUGAGGUGCGAAAGCGUGGGGAGCAAACAG